This 473-nucleotide ribosomal RNA is filed under the name uncultured bacterium. Its description in RNAcentral is "bacterial SSU rRNA". It matches the Rfam family "Bacterial small subunit ribosomal RNA", at positions 28 to 498 of the family's 1533-position model. The record is from RNAcentral.
GAUGAACGCUGGCGGCGUGCUUAACACAUGCAAGUCGAACGAAGCACUCUAUUUGAUUUUCUUCGGAGAUGAAGAUUUUGUGACUGAGUGGCGGACGGGUGAGUAACGCGUGGGUAACCUGCCUCAUACAGGGGGAUAACAGUUGGAAACGACUGCUAAUACCGCAUAAGCGCACAGGAUCGCAUGAUCCGGUGUGAAAAACUCUGGUGGUAUGAGAUGGACCCGCGUCUGAUUAGCCAGUUGGCAGGGUAACGGCCUACCAAAGCGACGAUCAGUAGCCGACCUGAGAGGGUGACCGGCCACAUUGGGACUGAGACACGGCCCAAACUCCUACGGGAGGCAGCAGUGGGGAAUAUUGCACAAUGGGGGAAACCCUGAUGCAGCGACGCCGCGUGAGCGAAGAAGUAUUUCGGUAUGUAAAGCUCUAUCAGCAGGGAAGAAGAAUGACGGUACCUGACUAAGAAGCACCGGCU